AUCCUUUCUUCCUCCUCUACACUGCACGGAAAUCCUGCCAAGUCGUCAAGUGGAUACUCGACAUACUGAUCAUCGUCCAUCAAGUUUGGUACAUUGGGUCCAUAAGGAUGGCCAUUGGAUAAUUCGAAACUAAUCAUAUCUGAAGACGACAAGUCUGUGUCAUUACUCGUGCUCUGAUCCUGAGAUUGGGAUUGAUGAUCUCCAGAAGGAAGAUCGGGAGGAACCUCUGUCCGGCUCAUAGAUCUUUUUGAACGGAGUUCUUUAAUAGCACCUUCUGUACUAUUAGUUGGUAUAUCUCUUGACGUUGUGGAGGAACCAUGGUUAGGGCCCG
Molecule: unclassified non-coding RNA, 331 nt
Filed under: Hevea brasiliensis (rubber tree)
Lineage: Eukaryota; Viridiplantae; Streptophyta; Magnoliopsida; Malpighiales; Euphorbiaceae
Source: RNAcentral